CGGAUGUAGUCUGCAACCCGACUACAUGAAGCUGGAAUCGCUAGUAAUCGCGGAUCAGAAUGCCGCGGUGAAUACGUUCCCGGGUCUUGUACACACCGCCCGUCACACCAUGGGAGUCGGAAAUGCCCGAAGUCUGUGACCCAACCUACGGGAGGGAGCAGCCGAAGGCAGGUCGGAUGACUGGGGUGAAGUCGUAACAAGGUAAC
RNAcentral lists this ribosomal RNA (206 nucleotides) under uncultured bacterium. RNAcentral's name for it is "partial 16S ribosomal RNA". It matches the Rfam family "Bacterial small subunit ribosomal RNA", at positions 1295 to 1500 of the family's 1533-position model. The record is from RNAcentral.